This 253-nucleotide ribosomal RNA is filed under the name uncultured bacterium. RNAcentral describes it as "partial 16S ribosomal RNA". It matches the Rfam family "Bacterial small subunit ribosomal RNA", at positions 524 to 776 of the family's 1533-position model. The record is from RNAcentral.
UACGGAGGGUGCAAGCGUUAUCCGGAUUCACUGGGUUUAAAGGGUGCGUAGGUGGGCUGGUAAGUCAGUGGUGAAAUCCCCGAGCUUAACUUGGGAACUGCCAUUGAUACUAUCAGUCUUGAAUACUGUGGAGGUCAGCAGAAUAUGUCAUGUAGCGGUGAAAUGCUUAGAUAUGACAUAGAACACCAAUUGCGAAGGCAGCUGGCUACACAAAUAUUGACACCGAUGCACGAAAGCGUGGGGAUCAAACAGG